This 307-nucleotide signal recognition particle RNA is filed under the name Amborella trichopoda. RNAcentral's name for it is "SRP RNA Plant_SRP". It matches the Rfam family "Plant signal recognition particle RNA". The record is from Rfam by way of RNAcentral. Lineage: Eukaryota; Viridiplantae; Streptophyta; Magnoliopsida; Amborellales; Amborellaceae.
GCUGAGCCUGGUAGCAUGGGCUUGUAACUCGAGCGAAAGCAUACAAGGUGGCUGGACUGUGGCAUUGGGGCUCGUGGGUGGGUUGCCAUGUUUCAAUUGGCGUGCCCUCUCCAAGUCAGGAGUUGGUUGGCUCUAUCGAGCCGAAGGGCUUGGUUGACUCAUCCCUACAGUGGAGGAAAAUGCGUGAGGCUGGCUUUACAGAGCAGCGACUACCUCUCGCUCUUGGCAGUGGAAGGAUAACAUGUUGGUUUUUGGAAUUACCCAAUUAAACCCGAUGAGUAUCAUUUCCAUAUGGACAACCACUUUU